This 571-nucleotide ribosomal RNA is filed under the name uncultured bacterium. Its description in RNAcentral is "bacterial SSU rRNA". It matches the Rfam family "Bacterial small subunit ribosomal RNA", at positions 103 to 650 of the family's 1533-position model. The record is from RNAcentral.
CGGGUGAGUAACACGUAAACAACCUGCCUUCAGGAUGGGGACAACAGACGGAAACGACUGCUAAUACCGAAUGUGUUCCGGAGACCGCAUGAUUUCCGGAAGAAAGGAUGGCCUCUAUUUAUAAGCUAUCGCCUGAAGAGGGGUUUGCGUCUGAUUAGGCAGUUGGUGAGGUAACGGCCCACCAAACCUACGAUCAGUAGCCGGUCUGAGAGGAUGAACGGCCACACUGGAACUGAGACACGGUCCAGACUCCUACGGGAGGCAGCAGUGGGGAAUCUUCCGCAAUGGACGAAAGUCUGACGGAGCAACGCCGCGUGAGUGAUGACGGCCUUCGGGUUGUAAAGCUCUGUGAUCGGGGACGAAUGGCUGGUAUGCUAAUACCAUAUCAGAGUGACGGUACCCGAAUAGCAAGCCACGGCUAACUACGUGCCAGCAGCCGCGGUAAUACGUAGGUGGCAAGCGUUGUCCGGAAUUAUUGGGCGUAAAGCGCGCGCAGGCGGCUUCCUAAGUCCAUCUUAAAAGUGCGGGGCUUAACCCCGUGAUGGGAUGGAAACUGGGAGGCUGGAGUAUC